RNAcentral lists this non-coding RNA (30 nucleotides) under Mus musculus (house mouse). Lineage: Eukaryota; Metazoa; Chordata; Mammalia; Rodentia; Muridae. The record is from RNAcentral.
UAUUACAUUUAGGACCACAUUGUUAUUCCU